This 74-nucleotide transfer RNA is filed under the name Deltaproteobacteria bacterium HGW-Deltaproteobacteria-19. RNAcentral's name for it is "tRNA-Gln". It matches the Rfam family "tRNA". From Rfam's summary of the family: Transfer RNA (tRNA) molecules are approximately 80 nucleotides in length. Their secondary structure includes four short double-helical elements and three loops (D, anti-codon, and T loops). Further hydrogen bonds mediate the characteristic L-shaped molecular structure. tRNAs have two regions of fundamental functional importance: the anti-codon, which is responsible for specific mRNA codon recognition, and the 3' end, to which the tRNAs corresponding amino acid is attached (by aminoacyl-tRNA synthetases). tRNAs cope with the degeneracy of the genetic code in two manners: having more than one tRNA (with a specific anti-codon) for a particular amino acid; and 'wobble' base-pairing, i.e. permitting non-standard base-pairing at the 3rd anti-codon position. RNAcentral also lists the same sequence under 2 other names. The record is from RNAcentral. Lineage: Bacteria; Deltaproteobacteria.
UGGGGGAUCGUCUAGUGGUAGGACACAAGAUUCUGGAUCUUGCUACCGAGGUUCGAAUCCUUGUCCCCCAGCCA